Molecule: ribosomal RNA, 1400 nt
Filed under: uncultured bacterium
Lineage: Bacteria
Description: bacterial SSU rRNA
Rfam family: Bacterial small subunit ribosomal RNA
Source: RNAcentral
AGAGUUUGAUCCUGGCUCAGGAUGAACGCUAGCGACAGGCUUAACACAUGCAAGUCGAGGGGCAGCGGGUAGAUGAGCUUGCUCAUUUAUGCCGGCGACCGGCGCACGGGUGAGUAACACGUAUGCAACCUGCCCGUCUCAGGGGGAUAAUCGUCGGAAACGGCGUCUAAUACCCCGUAUGAAGCUGGACGGCAUCGUCUGGUUUUGAAAGAAUAUCGGAGACGGAUGGGCAUGCGGCGCAUUAGCUAGUUGGCGGGGUAACGGCCCACCAAGGCGACGAUGCGUAGGGGUUCUGAGAGGAAGGUCCCCCACACUGGUACUGAGACACGGACCAGACUCCUACGGGAGGCAGCAGUGAGGAAUAUUGGUCAAUGGGCGAGAGCCUGAACCAGCCAAGUCGCGUGAGGGAGUACUGCCCUAUGGGUUGUAAACCUCUUUUGUCGGGGAGCAAAAGCCGGACGUGUCCGGCUUUGAGAGUACCCGAAGAAAAAGCAUCGGCUAACUCCGUGCCAGCAGCCGCGGUAAUACGGAGGAUGCGAGCGUUAUCCGGAUUUAUUGGGUUUAAAGGGUGCGCAGGCGGUUGCUUAGGUCUGAUGUGAAAGCCUUCGGCUUAACCGAAGAAGUGCAUCGGAAACCGGGCGACUUGAGUGCAGAAGAGGACAGUGGAACUCCAUGUGUAGCGGUGGAAUGCGUAGAUAUAUGGAAGAACACCAGUGGCGAAGGCGGCUGUCUGGUCUGCAACUGACGCUGAGGCUCGAAAGCAUGGGUAGCGAACAGGAUUAGAUACCCUGGUAGUCCAUGCCGUAAACGAUGAGUGCUAGGUGUUGGAGGGUUUCCGCCCUUCAGUGCCGGAGCUAACGCAUUAAGCACUCCGCCUGGGGAGUACGACCGCAAGGUUGAAACUCAAAGGAAUUGACGGGGGCCCGCACAAGCGGUGGAGCAUGUGGUUUAAUUCGAAGCUACGCGAAGAACCUUACCAGGUCUUGACAUCUUGCGCUAACCUUAGAGAUAAGGCGUUCCCUUCGGGGACGCAAUGACAGGUGGUGCAUGGUCGUCGUCAGCUCGUGUCGUGAGAUGUUGGGUUAAGUCCCGCAACGAGCGCAACCCUUGUUACUAGUUGCCAGCAUUAAGUUGGGCACUCUAGUGAGACUGCCGGUGACAAACCGGAGGAAGGUGGGGACGACGUCAGAUCAUCAUGCCCCUUAUGACCUGGGCUACACACGUGCUACAAUGGACGGUACAACGAGUCGCAAGCUCGCGAGAGUAAGCUAAUCUCUUAAAGCCGUUCUCAGUUCGGACUGUAGGCUGCAACUCGCCUACCCGAAGUCGGAAUCGCUAGUAAUCGCGGAUCAGCAUGCCGCGGUGAAUACGUUCCCGGGCCUUGCACUCACCGCCCGUCA